GGAAUAUUGGUCAAUGGGCGAGAGCCUGAACCAGCCAUGUCGCGUGCAGGACUACGGCCCUACGGGUCUUAAACUGCUUUUGAUUGGGGAUAAAGGAGGGGACGAGUCCCCUUUUGCAGGUACCAAUCGAAUAAGGAUCGGCUAACUCCGUGCCAGCAGCCGCGGUAAUACGGAGGAUCCGAGCGUUAUCCGGAUUUAUUGGGUUUAAAGGGUGCGUAGGCGGGCUGUUAAGUCAGCGGUGAAACCCCCGGGCUCAACCCGGGGACUGCCAUUGAAACUGGCGGCCUUGAGUACGUUGGGAGUGCGCGGAAUGUGUGGCGUAGCGGUGAAAUGCAUAGAUAUCACACAGAACACCGAUCGCGUAGGCAGCGCGCUACGCCGCAACUGACGCUGAGGCACGAAGGCGCGGGGAUCGAACA
RNAcentral lists this ribosomal RNA (419 nucleotides) under uncultured bacterium. RNAcentral describes it as "bacterial SSU rRNA". It matches the Rfam family "Bacterial small subunit ribosomal RNA", at positions 358 to 774 of the family's 1533-position model. The record is from RNAcentral.